UACCUUGAGUGGAGUGGUGCAUGUUAUAUCUCAAAUGUAUUAGCUCUUCUGUGUUAUCUGCUGGACCUGAUAAGAUAGAGAUACCGGGAUGGCAUUGUAUACAGUGAUGGAUGCAGAGGAAGCCCAUCGUCCUGACUGUGUGAGGUGACGAGUGAACAGGUGGACAAGAUUCGGAAUAAAGUGAAGCAUGUUACGUUGAAUGAUAUAAAGAAUUGAUUUUUGUGUGACAGUUUAGUAUUACAUUUAAGUUGUGGAAAAUACCGAUGUUAGACAAAAAGAGGAGAAGCGAAGUAGAAGAGAGAUUUGAGUCGUCAGGGAUAGGAUGCAAGCUGGCUCUGAAAGGCUAUCGCUACAGUGACAACUAAGGAGUCUGUCGAUCACAAGCGAGACCUCCACGAUGGAACAACAAGAGGUGAUUUACAGCAACGUCCAGGGGGAGAGUGACUCAAAUUAUGACAUGGACGGCCUAGACUGCCCGGUGUGCCUGGAGCCUUACGAUGAGGGCCGCCGCACCCCCAAGAUGAUGCCAUGCUUGCACACCCUCUGUACCUCCUGCAUCACCAACCUCACGUGCAACAAUGCUCAGAAGAACGGGCUACAGGAAGUAGCCAACACCACAGCUACAAUUUCUGCUGCUAAUACUGCCAGGAGUAGCCGCAUCAACGCCCUCAUCAACACCCUGGAGACACGUACGGGCCAUGCAGCUCUCCGUCGCAUAGCUGGCCAAGGACCAACCUCACCCACCACCAGGCAGCCCCAUGACCCUCUUCCCCCAACCCCAACCUCAUCCCCGGCAACACCCACCUCCCACAUGUCAGUCAGGCGGCCCGAGGUCAGCCCACCAUUGCCCCCCAAUGCUGAACCACAGAUACCCAAGGGUUUGAUGGUGAUAUGUCCGCUGUGUCGCUCGGAAGUCAGCACCAACAAGCUACAGACCAACAGGUACGUCCUAGCACACAUGAGGGACCUGAAGAGGCUUUCCAGGGCUCCAUCUGUACCUGAGGUGUCCUUCGCGCCGCAGGACUUCUGGUGUGAGGAGUGCAAGGAACCCGCCACCAACACCUGCCGCUACCAUGAACUCACUCCGAUAGCAAAGUGGGUGGAGACUCAGAGGGCCACGCUGGAGAAUCUUCAGAUGGCCGUGGAGGACCAGCUGGACCAACACAGCGGCCACCUCCAAGGGCUUGAGGACAUGAUCAAGGAGGUUUUCCACUCCCUCAAUAAAGCCUCAAAGUUCAUCUGGGACACGAAGAAGCGGCUGAAGGAGAUGAAGGAGGGAGUGAAGGAGUGCAGCACCCCCGCCUCGGGCUCGCCCAGAGAGGAGGCGGAGAGGCUGGUCAAGGAGGUCGCGUGGCUAGAGCGGGAGGCGGCCAAGGCAUCGCGAAGGGACCUUACGGAGGGGGACAACGAUGUGCUCGUCUCCCUGCACGAGGACGACAAGAAGAGGCUGCUCGUCAUCACCUACAACCCCGACCUCGCCCUCGCCAUCACGCUCUCCCACGGCCACACCAACGUCUGAGAGAGAGAGAGAGAGAGAGAGAGAGAGAGAGAGAGAGAGAGAGAGAGAAUGUGAGAGGAAUCGAGAUGGCAAGGUUGAUAGAUAGGCAGGAAGAGAGAGAGAGAGAGAGAGAGAGAGAGAUAAAGGAGACAUGGAGUGGAGAAAUCAAAAGCAGAUAAAGAGGACGAAGAGAAGAGAAGGAAAUGAACAAAGGAAGGGAGGAAUGAUGAACUUGAAAAAAAACAUGUGCGGUAAUUAAAGAUCAGAGAGGAGAAAGGUAAAGAAAGUAGUAGGUUAGGAAUACAGAAGGAAGAAUGGAUGGGUAUAUGGGCUAGAGAGAGAGGUGGGGGGGAAGGGGAGAGGAAGGAAUUCAAGUCACCCGUAUUAUACUUAUGGAGAAGACAUACAAACGAUCAGUUGUUAGGACGGGGUAAGAACCUCAUUUAUGGGCUCCUAUUGAGGUUCGUAGCCGAGUCUCUCUCAGAACGUUCCCUAAAAAUUCCUUCCCCAACGUGAGAACAGGCAGCAUAUAUACGUACGAGAGAGAGAGAGAGAGAGAGAGAGAGAGAGUCACACGUGGCCACUCAGCAACCUCCCUUUAUGCCCCCUUAGUCGUUUCCAAGACGCUCGUUUGUCUCCCUGAGUCACGAUGAUGAUGAUGGUGACGAUGAUGAUGAUGCCCCGGAGACGUGAAUGCUAAUAAAGUGUUAAGGAGGCGGCCACGUGAUCGAUAGAGGUGAUUUGUGGCGUCAAAAUAGGAAGGCGGUGAAGGGCGGGGGAAGAACGGCUUUUAUGAACGCCUGUUGAGGUUCGGAGCCGAGUCUCUCUCCGAACGUUCUGUGAAACUCCCUCCCCCAACGUGAGAGAGAGAGAGAGAGAGAGAGAGAGAAGCCUGUGUGGAGGAAUGUGUGUGAGAGAGCGGCCGUACGUGUGUGUGUGUGUGUGAGAGAGAGAGAGAGAGAAGGCUUGUGUGUGUGUGUGUGUGUGAGAGAGAGAGAGAGAGAGAGAGAGAGAGAGAAGGGGCUGUACGUACGCGUGUUGUGUGUGUGUGUGUGUGUGAGAGAGAGAGAGAGAGAACGUACCGUGUAUAAGGGGGAGAGAGGGAGGGGCUGGCGUGUGUGUGAGAGAGAGAGAGAGAGAGAGAGGUGGCCUUGCUCAACAGGUUUCAUUACUUCAUUUUAUGUUCUGCUGUUGGACGUCCGAGUCACAUUAUGCUCAUACGUUCUCUCUUUCUCGAUCCGUUUUUGCCACCACACACGUGUCAGCCUUGUUCUUCUCUUUCUUUUCCUUCUUUCUCCCGCCUCUCCCUUCCUUCCCCCUACUUCCAUUAGUUCUUUUUCCUUUUAUUUUUCUAUGGGUGGGAUUACGACUUGUUCUUGUUGUUCUCUUUUUCGCUCCGUUUUUUUUUUGGGGGGGGAGGGGGGCACAUGUUCAGUUUUCCUUCUUUUUUCUUUCCUUUUCUUCUUUCCCUCUUUUCUUCCCCUUCCUUUAGUCCUUUUUCCUUAUUUUUCUAUGGGUGGGGUUACGACUUAAUUGUUCCUCUUGUUCUCCCUUUCUUGCCCCCUUUUUUUACCACAAGUCUAGUUUUCU
Eriocheir sinensis (Chinese mitten crab) is the source of this 3088-nucleotide RNA transcript. It is a transcript of the gene named E3 ubiquitin-protein ligase TRIM9-like, with no coding region annotated. The transcript has 8 exons. The record is from RefSeq and is a predicted model, not a curated record. Lineage: Eukaryota; Metazoa; Arthropoda; Malacostraca; Decapoda; Varunidae.